Molecule: unclassified non-coding RNA, 167 nt
Filed under: soil metagenome
Description: partial contains 5.8S ribosomal RNA, internal transcribed spacer 2, and large subunit ribosomal RNA
Source: RNAcentral
AACGGUCUAUACCUGCGGUACCUGCGGAGGGAUCAUUAGUGAACGCCCUCACGGGCUUAUAACUAUUCCAAACCUCUGUGAACCGUGCCCUUCGGGGCUAUUUUACAAACAUGGUGUAAUGAGCGUCAUAUAUCAUAACAAAACAAAACUUUCAGCAAUGGAUCUCU